RNAcentral lists this small nuclear RNA (79 nucleotides) under Mus musculus (house mouse). Its description in RNAcentral is "U4 spliceosomal RNA". It matches the Rfam family "U4 spliceosomal RNA", at positions 1 to 79 of the family's 138-position model. From Rfam's summary of the family: U4 small nuclear RNA (U4 snRNA) is a component of the major U2-dependent spliceosome. Lineage: Eukaryota; Metazoa; Chordata; Mammalia; Rodentia; Muridae. The record is from Rfam by way of RNAcentral.
AGCUUUGCGCAGUGGCAGUAUAGUAGCCAAUGAGGCUUAUCCAAGGCGCGUUUAUUGCUAAUUGAAAACUUAAAAUAUG